RNAcentral lists this ribosomal RNA (253 nucleotides) under uncultured bacterium. RNAcentral's name for it is "partial 16S ribosomal RNA". It matches the Rfam family "Bacterial small subunit ribosomal RNA", at positions 524 to 776 of the family's 1533-position model. The record is from RNAcentral.
UACGUAGGGUGCAAGCGUUAAUCGGAAUUACUGGGCGUAAAGCGUGCGCAGGCGGUUAUGCAAGCCAGAUGUGAAAGCCCCGGGCUUAACCUGGGAAUGGCAUUUGGGACUGCAAGGCUUGAGUGCGGCAGAGGAGACUGGAAUUCCUGGUGUAGCAGUGAAAUGCGUAGAUAUCAGGAGGAAUACCGAUGGCGAAGGCAGGUCUCUGGGCUGACACUGACGCUCAUGCACGAAAGCGUGGGGAGCAAACAGG